UCGGGGGGACAGGGUGACAGGUGGUGCAUGGUUGUCGUCAGCUCGUGUCGUGAGAUGUUGGGUUAAGUCCCGCAACGAGCGCAACCCUCGACCUUAGUUGCCAGCGAGUCAAGUCGGGCACUCUAAGGUGACUGCCGGCUAAAGUCGGAGGAAGGUGGGGAUGACGUCAAAUCAUCAUGCCCCUUAUGACCUGGGCUACACACGUGCUACAAUGGGCGGUACAAAGGGUCGCGAACCCGCGAGGGGGAGCCAAUCCCAAAAAGCCGCUCUCAGUUCGGAUUGCAGGCUGCAACUCGCCUGCAUGAAGCCGGAAUCGCUAGUAAUCGCGGAUCAGCAUGCCGCGGUGAAUACGUUCCCGGGCCUU
Molecule: ribosomal RNA, 364 nt
Filed under: uncultured Anoxybacillus sp.
Lineage: Bacteria; Bacillati; Bacillota; Bacilli; Caryophanales; Anoxybacillaceae
Description: bacterial SSU rRNA
Rfam family: Bacterial small subunit ribosomal RNA
Source: RNAcentral